This is a small nuclear RNA of Mya arenaria, 151 nucleotides long. RefSeq annotates it as U12 minor spliceosomal RNA. The record is from RefSeq and is a predicted model, not a curated record. Lineage: Eukaryota; Metazoa; Mollusca; Bivalvia; Myida; Myidae. The transcript has a single exon.
AUGCCUUAAACUAAUGAGUAAGGAAAAUAAUGGGCUUGUAGGAGUACAGGCCUCAGAGUUUCAUCUCUGAAGUAUUUCUGAGAAGGCACAGGUUGCCCCUGAGUGACCCACCUACAUUUGUGGGAUGCUCAUGGUGUAGUGAUCUUGCCUG